Molecule: ribosomal RNA, 468 nt
Filed under: uncultured bacterium
Lineage: Bacteria
Description: partial 16S ribosomal RNA
Rfam family: Bacterial small subunit ribosomal RNA
Source: RNAcentral
GACGAACGCUGGCGGCGUGCUUAACACAUGCAAGUCGAACGGAAAGGCCCUGCUUUUGUGGGGUGCUCGAGUGGCGAACGGGUGAGUAACACGUGAGUAACCUGCCCUUGACUUUGUGAUAACUUCAGGAAACUGGGGCUAAUACCGGAUAGGAGCUCCUGCUGCAUGGUGUGGGUUGGAAAGUUUCGGCGGUUGUGGAUGGACUCGCGGCUUAUCAGCUUGUUGGUGGGGUAGUGGCUUACCAAGGCUUUGACGGGUAGCCGGCCUGAGAGGGUGACCGGCCACAUUGGGACUGAGAUACGGCCCAGACUCCUACGGGAGGCAGCAGUGGGGAAUAUUGCACAAUGGGCGGAAGCCUGAGGCAGCAACGCCGCGUGCGGGAUGACGGCCUUCGGGUGGUAAACCGCUUUCGCCUGUGACGAAGCGGGAGUGACGGUAAUGGGUAAAGAAGCAACGGCUAACUACGUG